Molecule: long non-coding RNA, 4461 nt
Filed under: Musa acuminata (dwarf banana)
Lineage: Eukaryota; Viridiplantae; Streptophyta; Magnoliopsida; Zingiberales; Musaceae
Description: long non-coding RNA (MACU_LNC004751)
Source: RNAcentral
AAAGUUUGACUCAUUUUUUUAAUUAUUAAAUGAAGAUUUAGUUACUUGUUACACAUAAUCGUUAAAUUUUGAUUAUAAAAGAAUUUGUUGCACAUAAUCACAGUCAUUCAUUGCACAUGAGUGAAACAUUGAGCUUGGAAAUUAUUUUUGGGAACUUUCUCACGCGUAAUGGUUAUGAUUGAAAAUUUUUAUUUCUUUUCUUUCAUUGUUCACUCUUGAAGGUUUCUUGUACUCUUACCACAACACAACAUCCGUUUCUUCCCCCUUUUUAUCCAGGGUAAAUAAAGGCCUAUGUCUCAUCACCUUCAGGCUAUAUGCAUAUCUUGUAGAAAGUUGUUCUGCUUUUGGUUUGUGUCCUUUUAAUCUGUUGACAUGUGAAAGUCUGCUUCUUUUUCUUUCACCUUUUACUUUUCAGCUUUUGGAUAUCAGGCUUUGAGGAACACAUGAUUACAUUGUACUAGUCAUCAUCAUUUUCUGCUACCCUUGGAUCAAUUAUAUUACAGCAAUGCUUUCAGUUCUAAUUGCUCCUCUCUGAUUUAUGUGACUGCCAGCAGCCUUUUCUUUUAUUCUAAUGCUGAAUUCUCUAAUUAAAGCUUUAUUGUUACCGAGUUUAAUCGAUGGUUUAUUAGAUAUUUUGUGCAUCCAUCCAUGCUGCAAAUUUGUUUCUGAAAGAAAUUUAGCCAACAAAAAUAUUCCUAUAUGUCCUCUUACUUGCGUUCUCAACACUGUUUAGUCAUUUGUUAUGUGUGCUUUCAUAUAGCUUUGAUUUAUCUGAUUUACUUGAUCACUCACGCAUCAAAUACCUUUCUUGGUUCUAAAGUUAAUAGAUUUAAGGAUUUGUUAGGGAUCUAUUUCUUCAUCUCAGCUUCCCAAUAUCUUCUUUGUAUAAUCAGGUGUACUUUGGAAUUCUGAAUAGUUAAUGUAGCGACAUCAUUAUGACACUCAAUGCUCCCACCUCCACAAAUCAUCACUGCUGAAGUGGGUUGUCACAUGAUGAGUAGACUAUAUAUCCUGCUUUACCUUUUACCUUCUUUGAGAUAUCUAUUGCCCCAUGUGAUCACUGGUUAAGAAAAUGUCUCUCACUAGCGCGCAGCCAAGGUGAGCUUAUACUCCUAUAUGAAUGUAUAAUGUGAUUAUUAGGUUUUUCCACACCAAAAAAGGGGGUUCAGGUUUUAGAACAAGGCAAUCAUUCAUGAAAGAUUAGGGAUCAGCCUUGGAUGCAACCUAGGCUUCUGCUCUAAUGAUCUCUUCAUGCUAUUUCUCUCGAAGAGCGUUGGAUCAGACAUUUACUUGAUGAAUACAACUAGCAACUAGGACUUUUGGAAUGAAUAUUUCUUUUCCUGUAAACUUAUUCAGCAUAUCAGUUUCUGAAGAACUAUCUGCAAGAAAAAAAGAAGAAAAAAGCUACAAGCAGUUGUUUAUGAGUUAUGAUUUCAACAUAGAGGUUAAACCAUGUUUUGUGAUACUGUGCUAUUCAUGUUCUUAAAAAUUAUAUAUUUGUUUGGCGUAAGUUUGUUUAUAUAUUCUACAUUUUUACUGGUUUUCAUUCUCAUUCUGGAUCUAUUUGAUGAGUCUGUAAGAUCUAAAAAGUCUUCCCAUUGGCAUGCGUGCCCCUCUUAUUUUUCAAUGUCAUUAGAAUAUGAGUUAAUAGUGUCAUAUUUGCUCAUCAAUGCCAUUUGACAAAGAGCAAAGGGCGUUGGGCUCGUAUUCAAAGUAUUAUCAUAUUAGAAAGGAAGAGAAAGAAUUGUUAAGUAUUUUUCGGAAGGUCAGAAACAUUUGCAUCAUUAAUCUCAUCUCAACUGAGGGCUUGCAUUUCAUAUUCAAUUUCUUGGGAAGGAUCACGUAAGAGGUUUUGUCAACUUCUUGCAAAGGAUCAUUUCACGGGAUUUGUUGACAAAAUAUCUUUGUGAUGGUAAGUCAAUAUGUGUUUAUUGGCUUAGACGUCAAAAGACUAUAAAUAUUUUUUAAAUAAAUUUAUAAUUAAAAUAAAUCUAGAUAAAGUUUGUUUUAUACAAUCAUUCCUAAUACAUCUAGUUAUUUUACUUUCGUAACUAUAAAGAUAUUAAUAUAUAUUUUUUAUAAUAUAUCAAAGAUAAUUAACUAUAAGCGUUAAUUUGUAAUUAGCGACUUUUUUUUAGUAAGCAUAACUCUAUAAGAUAGUAUAUAUCAAAAAACUUAAAAUUCUAUGUAGAAAUAGUUUGAAAUGCUGAUUUGCAUAUGUAAGAAGCAUAAUAAAUUAAUGGACUUCUACACCAUAUAUAUAUAUAUAUAUAUAUAUAUAUAUAUAUAUAUGUAUUCUCACAUUGCACGUUAUCGUAAUAUAUACAUGUAUUCUCACACCACAUGUCGUCAUAAUAUAUAUGUAUAUGCCCAUACCGCAUGUCAUAAUAUAUACAUGUGCACUCCUACAUCGCAUGUCACAAUAUAUACGUGUACCCUCAUAUCAUAUGUUAUGAUACAUAUAUACACAUCAAAUAUAUACAUGUACUUUCACACCACACGUCAUAAUAUAUACGUGCACUCUCACAUCNNNNNNNNNNNNNNNNNNNNCCCUAGGCACGAGUGGUACCACCGCCUGCGCUGGGCGGUACCACUGCCCAGUGUCAGUUUGGCUGACAUUGUCUUGGGCGGUAUCACCGCCCAGGUCUGGCGGUACCACCGCCUAGGUGGCUGUGCUGGGCGGUACCACCACGUGGCACCUUGCCAAGGGUGGUACAACUGCCCAGACUAACGAUACCACCGCUUGACAUAGUCUCGAAGACUGUGCCAUGACGGUAAGUCUUAUUGGGGCACUUUUUGGGCCUCUUAUUGGGCCCAAAACAGUUCUUACAUGGGCUUAGCUGGACCCUAAUUGGGUUAGCACAAGUCCAAUCCCAAUUACAUGCUAACUACAAUUCCUAAGACAUAUUAUAAGCUAAACAAAUCCCUAUGUCAAUUCUUCCGACGAGCUUCCGGCAAACCUUCGACGAACUCUCGGCAAUGUUCCGACGGACUCCCGGCAAGCUCCUGGACUUCACGACGAUCUUCUUGGCGAGUUCCGACGAGCUUCUCUGGCAAGCUCCGCAACUUCUCGGCUGGUUCCCGCAGAACUUCCGACGAACUUCCGACGAACUCUCGAACCCCCAACGUGAUCAUGAUCUUGACUCUGGUGCAACUCCUGCUGCAUGUCUUACUGCCAUCGUAGUUAAUCCUGCACAUGUAAAACAUACUUCGAUUUAGACAAUUAAUACUAAGCAUUAAUCAAGUUGUCCGGCAUGUCAUUGGUCCCUCGACGCUUUGUUUGAUUCUUUGGCGCAUCGUCCUCUCCUACGGCCUAUUGCCCAAUCGACCAGUUAACUCUGCAACUCCGAUAUCCUUGGCGCAAUACCCACUCUUCUUGGCUCGAUGCCCGAAUCCACAGUCCGAAGCCUUCUGUCGAUACGUCGACCGAUCCACCGGCCCGACGUCCAAUCUUCUGACAUGUUCCUCCGACCCAACAUGAUUUUUCCUACUUUAAUUGUCUCAUCCUGAUCGAAGCAUCCUGCGUCACUCAAAACGUAGAUUAAAAUAUAAACACAAUUAUCAAUUGGUUUCAUCAUCAAAAUACGAGAUUUAACAGUAACAUAUUUGUGCACUCUCACAUGAUCAUAUAUGCAUGUAUACAAGAUAUUUUUAUCGUAAUUCAUAUAUUUUUUAUACUUACAAAAUACAUACAUUCAUAUUUAACUCACAACAAUCAUAUCGUAUGUCAUCAUAUAUUGCAUACAAGAUAUUUUUAUCAUAAUUUAUAUAUUUUUAUACUUACAAAAUACAUAUAUUUAACUCAUGACGAUAAACCUUCUCCGCUUCUUUCGAGAUCUUUCUCUUUCCUCCCUUUGCUCCUUUCUCUCUUCUUUUUCCUCCUCUCUAUUUUUAUAUAUCUCCUUCCUCUUUUCUUUCCCUUUCUUUCCUUUUCUCCCUUCCUUUCUUUCCUUCUUCUAUAUUCUUCCCUUCUAACCUACAGCCUCAUCCUUCUCUUUUCUUCACUUAUCCUCCUCCCCUUUUUCUCCCUUUUUUUUUUUCUUCCUCUCUUUCCUCUCCUCCUUCACUUUCUUCAUUCUCUUCCUCUCUUUGCUUCUUCUUUAUUCUUUCCUUCUUCCCUAUAGCCGCAACCCCCUUCUCUUCUCGCUCCUCUUCUCCUCCUCCCCUUUCCACCAUCGCAGCCUCCCUUUCUUCUCUUCUCCUCCUCCCCUUACCAUCGUCUCAGCCUCCCCCUUUCCACCGUUGUAGUCUCUCUUCUCUUCCUCUCCUUUGAGGUGAUGGUGGGAAGAAAAGCCUUUUUUUUUUUUACCUUUUGUAGUUUAAUCUAUGUAAUAUCUAUAUUUAUAAAUAAAUCUUUAAAAAGAUAAAAAAUAUUACCUUCUUUCUUUUAAAAGAAGAGUUUAGUUUUAUGUAUCUAAUUCGAAAACUAAUCAAGAUUGAUAUAUCAUCAAUUAUAUAUUU